Molecule: long non-coding RNA, 276 nt
Organism: Oryzias latipes (Japanese medaka)
Lineage: Eukaryota; Metazoa; Chordata; Actinopteri; Beloniformes; Adrianichthyidae
Source: RefSeq, a predicted model, not a curated record
CUGCAAACAAAAUCCACAAUCCUUCACCGCUACCAUCCUCGGGAGUAAAGUGCACUGUAGAGACAAAUGUUACAAAAAAGUCAGUACACAAAAAUCUCUGAUCAGGCUGGGCGCUGAGACCGCUGAGUCUUCGAACUCCUAUCAUCAAAAGCAGCAGGAAAAAAAAAAGAAAUGCCUCGGAUGUCCCUGCCUCUUCUGUGUGCGCCAGAGACAUUUAGCAAAAUGUUGAAGAGAGUCUAUGGACCCCGCCCUUACAUUGACGUGUUCUCCCUACCA